Molecule: ribosomal RNA, 374 nt
Filed under: Escherichia coli
Lineage: Bacteria; Pseudomonadati; Pseudomonadota; Gammaproteobacteria; Enterobacterales; Enterobacteriaceae
Also listed under: 1 other name
Description: partial 23S ribosomal RNA
Rfam family: Bacterial large subunit ribosomal RNA
Source: RNAcentral
GGGUUGUGAGGUUAAGCGACUAAGCGUACACGGUGGAUGCCCUGGCAGUCAGAGGCGAUGAAGGACGUGCUAAUCUGCGAUAAGCGUCGGUAAGGUGAUAUGAACCGUUAUAACCGGCGAUUUCCGAAUGGGGAAACCCAGUGUGUUUCGACACACUAUCAUUAACUGAAUCCAUAGGUUAAUGAGGCGAACCGGGGGAACUGAAACAUCUAAGUACCCCGAGGAAAAGAAAUCAACCGAGAUUCCCCCAGUAGCGGCGAGCGAACGGGGAGGAGCCCAGAGCCUGAAUCAGUGUGUGUGUUAGUGGAAGCGUCUGGAAAGGCGCGCGAUACAGGGUGACAGCCCCGUACACAAAAAUACACAUAUUGUGAGCU